Molecule: ribosomal RNA, 404 nt
Filed under: uncultured bacterium
Lineage: Bacteria
Description: bacterial SSU rRNA
Rfam family: Bacterial small subunit ribosomal RNA
Source: RNAcentral
UGGGGAAUAUUGGACAAUGGGCGAAAGCCUGAUCCAGCCAUGCCGCGUGGGUGAAGAAGGCCUUAGGGUUGUAAACCCCUUUCAGCGGGGAAGAUAAUGACGGUACCCGCAGAAGAAGCCCCGGCUAACUCCGUGCCAGCAGCCGCGGUAAUACGGAGGGGGCUAGCGUUGUUCGGAAUUACUGGGCGUAAAGCGCGCGUAGGCGGACUUUCAAGUCAGGGGUGAAAUCCCGAGGCUCAACCUCGGAACUGCCUCUGAUACUGUAAGUCUUGAGUCCGAGAGAGGUGAGUGGAAUUCCUAGUGUAGAGGUGAAAUUCGUAGAUAUUAGGAAGAACACCAGUGGCGAAGGCGGCUCACUGGCUCGGUACUGACGCUGAGGCGCGAAAGCGUGGGGAGCAAACAGG